AGAGUUUGAUCCUGGCUCAGAACGAACGCUGGCGGCGUGGAUAAGACAUGCAAGUCGAACGGGAACUUUACUGGUAGCAAUACCGGUGAAGUUCUAGUGGCGAACGGGUGCGUAACACGUGGGCAAUCUGCCUUAAAGUGGGGGAUAGCUCGGCGAAAGCCGAAUUAAUACCGCAUGUGAUCAGGGGAGACAUCUUCCCGAAAUCAAAAGUGGCGCAAGCUACUGCUUUUUGAGGAGCCCGCGGCCUAUCAGCUAGUUGGUGAGGUAACGGCUCACCAAGGCUCUGACGGGUAGCUGGUCUGAGAGGACGACCAGUCACACUGGAACUGAGACACGGUCCAGACACCUACGGGUGGCAGCAGUCGAGAAUUUUUCUCAAUGGGGGAAACCCUGAAGGAGCGACGCCGCGUGGAGGAUGAAGGUCUUCGGGUUGUAAACUCCUGUCAUUUGGGAACAAUGCUACCAAGUUAACUGUUUGGUAGUUGAUAGUACCAGAAGAGGAAGAGACGGCUAACUCUGUGCCAGCAGCCGCGGUAAUACAGAGGUCUCAAGCGUUGUUCGGAUUCAUUGGGCGUAAAGGGUGUGUAGGUGGCGCCGUAAGUCGGGUGUGAAAUCUCGGGGCUUAACUCCGAAACUGCAUUCGAUACUGCGGUGCUUGAGGACUGGAGAGGAGACUGGAAUUCAUGGUGUAGCAGUGAAAUGCGUAGAGAUCAUGAGGAAGACCAGUGGCGAAGGCGGGUCUCUGGACAGUUCCUGACACUGAGACACGAAGGCCGGGGAGCAAACGGGAUUAGAUACCCCAGUAGUCC
Molecule: ribosomal RNA, 809 nt
Filed under: uncultured bacterium
Lineage: Bacteria
Description: bacterial SSU rRNA
Rfam family: Bacterial small subunit ribosomal RNA
Source: RNAcentral